This 274-nucleotide ribosomal RNA is filed under the name uncultured bacterium. RNAcentral describes it as "partial 16S ribosomal RNA". It matches the Rfam family "Bacterial small subunit ribosomal RNA", at positions 523 to 796 of the family's 1533-position model. The record is from RNAcentral.
AUACGGAGGAUCCAAGCGUUAUCCGGAAUCAUUGGGUUUAAAGGGUCCGUAGGCUGUUUAGUAAGUCAGUGGUGAAAGUUUUCGGCUCAACCGGAAAAUUGCCAUUGAUACUGCAAGACUUGAAUUAUCGUGAAGUGUUUAGAAUGUGUAGUGUAGCGGUGAAAUGCAUAGAUAUUACACAGAAUACCGGUUGCGAAGGCAGAGCAUUAACAAUAUAUUGACGCUGAUGGACGAAAGCGUGGGUAGCGAACAGAAUUAGAAACACUAGUAGUCC